CCCAAGAGCCACUAGCCACAGUAUUUCAUGACAGGAGACCAACAGGAGCCAGUGUUUAGAGACUGAAGUUCUGGGAUGGGAACACUGGCCCCAACUCCAGACACAGGGCAAUGAGGCAUCCGGCAUUUACUGAACACCCAGCAGAAAGAUUCUUCUGGAUGGGCCUGACCUAAUCAGGUGAGCCUUUAAGAGAAGGUGGAGUGUCAGAGGGAAGCAUUCACUCCUGCUGCUCCUGAACACCCUGCUCCCAUAAAUUCUACAGCUGCAAGAAAGGAGUUCUGCCAAAAAACACAUACGCUUGGACCCCAAGCCUCAGAUGGAACCUCAGCCCCAGAAACACAUUUAUUUCAGCCUUGUAAGCCCUCAAGAAGAGAGUCCAGCUACACUCUGGCAUGACUUAUGACCUACAGAACUGUGAGAUAAUAUACCUGUGUGGUUUUAAGCUGCUAAAUUUGUGGUUGUUUGUUACACAACAAUAGAAAACUAAUAUGAUAUUAUUAAGGGCAGCCUUCCAUGUAAGAGAAAGCUAUGUAACUAUGGCUAGUUCCUCAGUGUGCCUGAGCCAUUGUGAAUAAUGCCGACUUCUCUCUCUCUCUCUCUCUCUCUUUCUCUCUCUCUCUGGGUAGGCCAGGCACGGUGGCUCACACCUGUAAUCCCAGCACGUGAGAAGGCCAAGGCAGGAGGCUGAGGUGGAAGGAUCACUUGAGUCCAGGAGGUCAGGGCUACAGUGAGCCAUGAUCACACCACUGCACUCCAGCCUGGGUGACAGAGUGAGACCUGUCUUAAAAUAAAUAAAUAAAUAAGCCAAGCUCAGUGGCUCAUACUUGUAAUCCCAGCACUUUGGGAGGCCAAAGUGGACAGAUUGUUUGAGGCCAGGAGUUUGAGACCAGCUGGGCCAACAUGGAGAAACCCCGUCCAAAAAUACAAAAAUUAGCUGGGAGGAUGUGGAGGUACAAACCUGUAUUCCCAGCUUCUUGGGAGGCUGAGGCACAAGAAUUGUUUGAACCCAGGAGGCAGAGAUUGCAGUGAGCUGAGAUCACGCCACUGUACUCCAGCUUGACUAAUUCAAGACUCUGUCUCAAAAUAAUAAUAAUAAUAAUUUCUACCAGGAGGCAGAGAUUGCAGUGAGCUGAGAUCACGCCACUGUACUCCAGCUUGACUAAUUCAAGACUCUGUCUCAAAAUAAUAAUAAUAAUAAUUUCUACCAGGAUUCUGGAUGCGUCACUUGACUUCACUGUGCCUGACUUUCUUUGUUAUAAAAUGGAUCUGAUGUUCACCUACUUCGCCUUACAAAGAUGAUGGAAAGGACAAGAGGAUAAGAGAGAGAGAGUAAUUCCGCACCUCAAAAGGAAAAUGAACAAAUUCGAGUCCAAUCCUUUCUUUUUGUGUAACUCUGUCAUAGACACGGACCGUUUUGUCUGCUGGGUAAACACUGCAUCAACACAGUGCAUUUGGAGAGAAUGGUUCCGUCGUUCCACUCCAACUUCAUGGUUGAUGGGGCUCCAACCUUGGCCACUCUUGAUUGGUUUAGGGAUGAUACCUGACCUUUCUGAGCCAAUCGGAAUCUUGCCUUGUGAUUCUAGAACUGAGAUGGCAAAGUCAGUUUCUUUUCAGUAGCUGAAAAUGAAGUCAUGUAAACUCCUAAGUUCAUCUGAGGCUAAGCAGGGCUGUUUGCUCCAAUAUUCCAUCAUCCAGGCUGAGGAACAAAAAUAGCAGGUUGGCCACAGGAAAGAAGGAUGAGGCCAAAAGAGGUACACAAGGCCGGGCGCCAUGGCUCACGCCUGUAAUCCUAGCACUUUGGAAGGCCAAGGCGGGUGGAUCACUUGGGGUCAGGAGUUCGAGACCAGCAUGGCCAACAUGGUGAAACCCUGUGUCUACUAAAAAUACAAAAAUUAGCCAGUCUUGCUGGGGCGUGCUUGUAGU
This 1923-nucleotide long non-coding RNA is filed under the name Homo sapiens (human). Its description in RNAcentral is "HSALNT0156137". The record is from RNAcentral. Lineage: Eukaryota; Metazoa; Chordata; Mammalia; Primates; Hominidae.